AGCAGCCGCGGUAAUUCCAGCUCCAAUAGCGUAUAUUAAAGUUGUUGCAGUUAAAAAGCUCGUAGUUGAAUUUCGAGAUCAGUACGCUGGUCGUGCCUUCGGUAUGCACUGGUGUCACUGGUUUCUCCCUUCUGAAGAACCGUCAUGUCAUUAAGUUGGUGUGGCGGGGAAUCAGGACUGUUACUUUGAAAAAUUAGAGUGUUUAAAGCAGGCUCGCGCUUGAAUACAUUAGCAUGGAAUAAUGAAAUAGGACGUUUGACCCUAUUUUGUUGGUUUCUAGGAUCGACGUAAUGAUUAAUAGGGAUAGUUGGGGGCAUUAGUAUUCAAUUGUCAGAGGUGAAAUUCUUGGAUUUAUUGAAGACUAACUACUGCGAAAGCAUUUGCCAAGGAUGUUUUCAUUAAUCAAGACGAAAGUUAGGGGAUCGAAGACGAUCAGAUACCGUCGUAGUC
RNAcentral lists this ribosomal RNA (450 nucleotides) under uncultured Glomus. RNAcentral describes it as "SSU rRNA". It matches the Rfam family "Eukaryotic small subunit ribosomal RNA", at positions 569 to 1025 of the family's 1831-position model. Lineage: Eukaryota; Fungi; Glomeromycota; Glomeromycetes; Glomerales; Glomeraceae. The record is from RNAcentral.